Bombus impatiens (common eastern bumble bee) is the source of this 3682-nucleotide long non-coding RNA. RefSeq lists it as uncharacterized. NCBI's taxonomy places the organism in Eukaryota, Metazoa, Arthropoda, Insecta, Hymenoptera, Apidae. The transcript is spliced from 2 exons. The record is from RefSeq and is a predicted model, not a curated record.
UCACCGAACAAACCUAAUUCUUUCUCCUCUCUUCUCUCAACCUCUUCGAAUCUACAGUUUCCUCGACGCGGACUAUACCAGUGCGAAAUUUCGACAAAGUUUCGUGAAAACGUUCGCCCAGUUCUAAAGCAAGUAAUUUCAUAAUUGCCUAUUCGCGUCGUACCUGUUCGUACGUAAUUCGCAAUUCUCGUUUGGAUCAUCAAAACGUACGCGAUAUUCGCGAUAUCGUAGGAUUCGUUCGCUCGUAGGACACAAUUAUUACGGUACUUUGGUAUUCUUCUCGCAGCUUCUUUCUUACAGCUUCCUAGAUACAUCUUAUCUGCCAGGCCUGAAACUAGCUUGAAACUCGAGUGCCGGUUGGGAGAGAUAGCAGCGAAUUGUUUGGUCCCCCGAGUGAACUAGGAUGUGUAUAACGGUGGUUAGAAGUUGCCAGGAUGCUUCCAAAACGUCGAGGCGGGGGAAAGCAGCAAUUUCUGCUUCGACGUACCACGAAGAGAGCGGCUCGAAGUUGCGACUCGAAUUGAAUGACCGAUCCGGGACGUCGAGCAACUAGCUAGAAGUAGAAACGAAGAAGAAGCGAACGAGACAUCCGUGAUCCGUUGGACGAGAACGAACCGAGCUCUGGAGCCAGGGAAAACCUUAUUAUGCGUUUCCCCGGAACUCCCCGCUUUGCACGGAUCUUGUAAAGUGGCGAGGGUCGCGUCAACCGAAUAACCAGACCAUAAACCACCAGAGGCCAAGGCAGAAGGACGGGUCGAGCGGCAGGCCGACUGCUAGAACCCGUUUACGUCACCCGUAAACCGGCAUCCUGUGGAUUUCGACGAGCAAAUACACUCGUGGCUAUGGUGCCUCGUAAACUCAGUCAAGACGUGAGCUGACGCACCGCUUUCCUGACGUUUCUCCAAAGGUGAAUGCUCCUUACUUCUCCCUUUCCUUCUACCUUUCCUUCUAUCCUUCUCGUUGCUGACAGCAGCCGUUUUUUCAAUAACAUCGAUGUACAAACCUGGUCGACUCCUUUCGCCUUGCUUUCGCGUCGCAGGUUUCUCAACAAGCAGAAUCAGAGUUAACGAGAAACAAGUUAAUUCAGUUGGAACGUUUCUGCACGAACGUCCUACGAAUAGAGCGAGGCAAACUAUAGACUAUCAUUUCGAGCGGUAGAACACGAGCUACGGCCAGCUAAUGACAGCUAUUACCCAUAUGACAGUGAUGUAGUAAUGAAACCGCGAUUGACGAAUCUAAUUGUAGUAAUGCGUUUCAUAUUUUAUCGAGUGCAUGCGGUAUCGCGUAUGAAAUUUUGAUUUCCAAUAGUUGCCAGUGCAAUUGCACGUUGUCGACGUUUCAUUUUAUGCGAAACCAGGGUAUAUCGUAUAUCAUUGAAACCUACCAGAGGGCAAGGUUAAACGAGUGUAAGUAAUGCAACACGUUCGAUUCGUACGAUUUAUCGAUAAAUUGAUAAAUUAUUCAUUCAGUUGCGUCAUUACGUGUACGUGUAUACACCGUUCCGAUUUCCCGAAAUACUCUUUUCGAUAAUGUCUCGCGCAAAACGAAUUGUCUAGACGAAUCUUCAUGUUUCAGAAGCUUAUCUUUUUCCGCGAACCUUCUUCUAUUUUCGAGCAGUGUCUUAGCUUUUCGUAGAACUGUACGCUUCGUAAAUGACGUCCGUAACCGUACACUAAAUAAAUUAACCUAUAAGCUAGCUAGCUAAUACAGAAGUAGCUAUUUGAAGAAAUUAUUCGGGUUUCGUUUCCAUUGUGUCGUUUCUCAGCUUCUCGUUAUUGAUUUUACAUGGAAAAUAGUACUACCUAUGCGAAACAGUUGGAAUUUCUGUGAACUCUUUCACCGACGAAAAUAACUCGAAAAAAGGCAGAGGAAAAGGAGCGGUAAGAGUCGAGAGAGGCGGAUGGUGCUCGUUAUUUCGUCCUUGCGAAGAAUCUGCGAAGAACUCGAGCGACACGCGAAGUUGGUUAGCUCCGGUCCCGUUGUUAUCAGCGAAAAUUUUCUCCGGUAUAGCGUGCCCGUCCCCGCUAUGUUUCCCGACCGAAAGUCACGGCGUAUCGCGUCGCAAACGACGAACGAGAAGACAACCAGUUCAGUUGAAAUUUACAGUGGAGAAAGUGAUACGAAUUUCCAAGCACGGCCAGCGAGUUAAGUGCUUCAAAGCGGCUGCUAAUUAUCGCUGUAACGACACGGAUUGUAUCGCUAUCGCGGAUUCAAUUCGACACCGUCGCCACGCUCUUCUGGUAAAUUGAUACGAUCUUCCUUCAUCGAUCGAGAACGUCGAUGUUUGCGCUCUCCACCGAUGAUUACAUAAUAUAGAGUUCUGCCGAGCCACGAGGAUCAAAGUUCGUUCUUACUUUUUCCUCUAUCGACGUGAUUAAGUGAAAAUACUCUGGCUCGUGCCAAGUAACUGUGAAAUAACGGCGCACCUUAUCUCCAGGUAUACCUUUUUAAUUGUAAUUACUUAAUAAGUCAGGGGUAAUUUAAGAACGUGUCGUAAAGCGAGAUCGCAAUGAGAUGCGAAGAUUUGUUGUUGAUUGUAUCUAACGUUAGAGUGCGCGAGUUUGAAUCGGAAGGUAAGGAAAAACGCGAGUGCGGUUAACGUCGCAGUCAGUAAAGUCGCCCCGACGUUAUCUUAAGCUCGUUCGUUCUCGAGUUAUUCGAUCCUGGAAUUAAUUGGUAAUUGUUUAAUUGGUUAAAACGUAGAAGCCACGAUGGGAAACAAGGUUUACGGGAGUUGAGAGAUUCCAUAAAAUCGGGUUGCAGUUUUCAUCGUGACUGCGUCAUGUAAAGUUCCGGCCGCUUAGGGAAGAACGAAACACAGACGGUAUAUUUACAGUAAUAGUAGCGUGGCACGAGUUACUUCCGGACAGCAGUGGCGAUGUAGUGGCCGGCGGGCACGGCGAGUAUGGCAGGCAUCGCGAGCGCACACACGUUUCGCGUGUGUGGCAGAGUUAAAGGCGGGCCUGCGACUACGAGAGGUGAAAGGGUUGGCAGAAUCGAAAGGGAGUAAAAGAGCUGGAACGGUCGAUUUAGAGGAAACACGCGUCCGGUGUCGCGUGCGACCGCGGAUAUCUGAUACGAGCGAAACGCGAGCGUAAUUCUCUUCGACGCUGUCGCGUUAUUUAUAAAUCGUCCUGAACUGCCGCCGGUUAUUAUCACCGGCCGUUACAAUUUUUCACUGGCACUCCCUGCUCCAAACGUCCGCUUAACUAAUUACUAUUAAUUUAACGGGUCGGGCGUUCGUGCCCGUCGUAAUUUCCAUGCCGCGACAGCUACUGUUCGUGGAUUUCGAUUCCAGUUUCGAGCCUGGUGGACCCGAGUCCGCUCGGAUACGCGUCACCGACAAAAAACAGGAAAACAGGACAAAAAAAAAAAAGAAGAAAAAUAGAUAAGGCAAAGUGCAUGCUCGUUAAACGCGCGCGAUACGCGGACGAGCUGCUCUUUUGAUGCAGCUUCGCCACUUUGUUCGCGCUAACCAGUCAUUACGCUCUCUCUUGCCUGGCUCCGGUUGAGAAAAAUGCGCGACACCGGAUGCAUCCGUCUUCCCUCCUGCCUUCUUCCUCUCAUUCGACCACCAUCGGAUUAUUACACGCCCGUUAAAUCGUUGGUCAAGAGUUGUUUCGACGGAUGAGUUUUAAUAUUCCCCGAAUGUUUCCUCUGUUUCGCCGAUUCUUCUUUUUAC